Molecule: long non-coding RNA, 3009 nt
Organism: Ixodes scapularis (black-legged tick)
Lineage: Eukaryota; Metazoa; Arthropoda; Arachnida; Ixodida; Ixodidae
Exons: 2
Source: RefSeq, a predicted model, not a curated record
UCGAGCCAUGUCCACACGGAGACGGCUCCUUCGACACCGGAAGUAGUAAAACGUCAUUUCCGGUGUCAAAGUAGCUUGCCCUGUCUGGGCAUAGCUCCUUCGACACCGGUAGUUGAGGGUGACAUCACUUCUGGUGUCGCAGCCUCGUGCGACUGUCACCGCUGUCACUGCCCUUCCCGAGUCUGCGACUGGUCAAGUUCUGGGUUCUUGCCAAGUUCAUGGACCAGCAGGUGCAGAACAUCGUGCAGAAGGUGGCCAGGGCCAGGAUUCAGCAGGAGUACUAGGGGAUGCAAUGAAGGCUUCCUCAAGUGCUGGCUGGACCAUCAAAAGUGUUCCACCAGCCAUGCUCUGUGAGGUUGAGUUUCCUCCACUUUGCUCUCCUGCUGCUUCCGCACCACCUCUGCCACUUGCUUCUGCUGCUUCCUCCCCUGAGAGUACCUGUGCACCUUGUGAAGCAGCUGCUGAUCACGUGCAGAGAUGUCAAAAUCUGCAGGCUCUCCUGUACCAGGUGCCUGCAUGGCCUCUGAGCUCGUUUUGGACAGAAGCCAACCAGUUGUCACAUAUGGAAAGGCUGAGCGGAGGCACACACGAGGCAAGCCGUCUGAUGUGCCAGUGAAGUAGAGCCAUGGUGCUGGGUUCAGGCUGGUUGGUGGUGUUUGAGUCCACAGCAAGGAUAGUCAGGUAGGGCAAACCUGGGAGAGCAUGCCUCUUGCUAGUGUAGAAGAGUGCCUGAAAGCCACAUCUUCAAGGAGCACAGCUUUUUUGAGUAGAAAAGCUAUACUCCGUUCCACCUUUGUUCCGAGCGCAGUGGACGCCAUAAGCCAUUCCAGCCGAUCCAGCGCCAGGAGAAAAUUGCGUGACCUGCCUGUUGGGCAGAGCGACACCUGGAGCUCGAGGUCACAUGCCACCCUCUCAACGCUGGAUUGGCUGGGAUGGCUCCUAUAGCGUCCACUGCGCUCGGACUGAAGGUGAAACGGAGUAUAGUGCAGAGGAGUGCCCGAAAACCACUCCCUUUGGAAGCACAGCUUUUGGAGGGAAUGGUGAGUGUGAAGCUAGUGCAGAGGAGUGCCCAAAAGCCACUUCCUUGGGAAGCACAGCUUCUGUAAAGGCUUGCGAGCAAGCAGCCCUUGUCACUGCUGAUGCUUCGGGUAGAAAAUCUAGUGCAGAAUGCCUAAAACCACUUUCUUGGAAGUCGUAGCUUUUGCAGAGAAAGGUGAGCAUGAAGCUAGUGUAGAGGAGUGCCCGAAAGCCUCUUCUUCGGGGAGCACAGCUCCUGUAAAGACAUGGGAGCAAGCAGCCGGUGCCACUGGCAAUGCUUCAGGUGGGAAAGCUAGUGCAGAGAAGUGCCUACAAGUCACUUCCUCGGGGAGCAAGGUGGUGUGCCCUUUCCGAAGCACGGUGAGAGGAGGGAAGCAGCGUGGGUGAAGUACAUUGAGCAUGAAGCAAGGGUCUCGCAGGCAGUGUAAGGCACUAAACCAUACUGCCACCAUUGCAUCCCCCACCAUUGCUUGGGAUGGAGGAGACCUUGCAUAGGGUGCCACUGUUCUUUGCAUGUGUCUGAUAAUCCAUUUUCUGGCUUGGGGGAGGACAGCCCAGCAUGUGCGACAAAGAGCAGGGCCACUGGAGGCAAGCAUCCCGCCACAGCUUUGCUGUAGAACCAUUUUCCUGCAGGCCAAGUUUAGGAACUAUCCAACCUAUCUAGCAGCAUUUGAAGACGACCAAAAAAGGGUUGCAUGUAUCUUCGAAAAAAAAAAAAAAGAAGGUCCAGGGAUUAUUUUUGUCAAAGACAUGUUUACUAGUUCAAUCUGAUGAAUUUAAGUACUCCAUGGUUGAGUUCAUCUAGUCAAACCAACAGCUAACUCCUUGGCUCAAUGCGGUGAACGAGAGCUAAAUGAAAAAUUGGUCGAUAUUCAGGCAUUCCUUAGCAGUCUUACAACCUUCCCUAGCAACCAGGUGCAGCUCUUGCCAUAGUCUGUUGCACCCUGUGCAGCUCGAGAGGAUGUAUCUCAGCAGCAGCUAAUAGACAACAAUCGGUGGGGCAACUUUUUCCGAAAAACUGUGCAUUAGUUUGAUUAAACGCAGGAGGCAGACCACGAAAUGUGACAGUUAUAAGAAAGCAUGCACUUUCUGGAAUGUUCCACAACAAGGCACUUCACCUUAGUAUGAUAGGGGCAGACUUAAUUCCUCUCUACAAAAGUUAUUCACUUACUGAAAAAGAACUGACAUGUGUAAGAUCCAACAGUUCUCUGUCUGAUAGUGUUAUGAAUAUUGUGCGGUACUUAACACGUAAAACAUUUCCACAUUGGGGUGGUUUUCAAGCUGUUCUGUUAGCUGAGGGACUAAAAUUCAAACAGGUGAGAGAUGCUUUCAUUCAGCUAUUGCGUACAAAAGUUCCAGACCAUUGGCAGUGAUGUGAUACUUGUGCCAAAGGGCUACAUCUUGCUGCAUUUGACCAAAAUCUGAGGAACUCUGGCCAACAUUGCGCCAAAACUUAAUUUUAACAACUCGCAAUUUGGCUGGAACAAUAGGAUUGUGCAAGUUGGCAGAUCUUUAGAAUAUUACGUCAUAUAACAUACUAACUCGGUCUGAUUUCGCAUCAAACACAGACAUUACUCGUGUAAGCGAGUGCCAUUGUGUUUUUCCCUUUUUCUUCUAUUUUGCCGGGCGCAUCCCUGAAGUCGCCUACGAAGCUCAGAGGGCACGAAUGUUGUGUUCUUAAAGGCAUGUGUUAACACCCACUCUUCGGCAUCAGGGGUCUCAAACGUGGGUUCCAGCGCUAUGAAGAUGCAACUGGCUGGCGUCGGACCGGAUGCGGCAUCUGCCAGCCAGGCGAGACCAAGCACCGCGAGAGAAGAACUAUACAGCAGUCUACCUGCAAGACUCUGAGCAAGAGCAUUGUGCGAUGGUGGUAUGCAACCACCAUAGUUCCCAAAUUUGUAAAUUUGGGAACUAUGGCCUAAAUUUGUACUUUCGACUAUAUUAAACCCAGUGUUUUUUUAAUUGCCAAAA